UCCGAGUUGUCCCCGGCAGUCCCCUUAGAGUCCCCGGCAUUACCCGCUGGCAACUAAGAGCAGGGGUUGCGCUCGUUGCGGCACUUAAGCCAACACCUCACGGCACGAGCUGACGACAGCCAUGCAGCACCUGUGUUGCGGUUCCCUUUCGGGCACCCUCACAUCUCUGCGAGGUUCCUGGCAUGUCAAGGGUAGGUAAGGUUUUUCGCGUUGCAUCGAAUUAAUCCACAUCAUCCACCGCUUGUGCGGGUCCCCGUCAAUUCCUUUGAGUUUUAACCUUGCGGCCGUACUCCCCAGGCGGCUCACUUCACGCGUUAGCUACGGUACCAAGGAAUCGCUUCCCCAACACCUAGUGAGCAUCGUUUACGGCGUGGACUAC
Molecule: unclassified non-coding RNA, 379 nt
Filed under: uncultured Gammaproteobacteria bacterium
Lineage: Bacteria; Pseudomonadati; Pseudomonadota; Gammaproteobacteria
Description: contains 16S-23S intergenic spacer region
Source: RNAcentral